RNAcentral lists this ribosomal RNA (506 nucleotides) under uncultured bacterium. Its description in RNAcentral is "partial 16S ribosomal RNA". It matches the Rfam family "Bacterial small subunit ribosomal RNA", at positions 29 to 523 of the family's 1533-position model. The record is from RNAcentral.
AGUGAACGCUGGCGGUAGGCCUAACACAUGCAAGUCGAACGGCAGCACAGGAGAGCUUGCUCUCUGGGUGGCGAGUGGCGGACGGGUGAGGAAUACAUCGGAAUCUACUCUGUCGUGGGGGAUAACGUAGGGAAACUUACGCUAAUACCGCAUACGACCUACGGGUGAAAGCAGGGGAUCUUCGGACCUUGCGCGAUUGAAUGAGCCGAUGUCGGAUUAGCUAGUUGGCGGGGUAAAGGCCCACCAAGGCGACGAUCCGUAGCUGGUCUGAGAGGAUGAUCAGCCAAACUGGAACUGAGACAAGGUCCAGCCUCCUACGGGAGGCAGCAGUGGGGAAUAUUGGACAAUGGGCGCAAGCCCGAUCCAGCCAUACCGCGUGGGUGAAGAAGGCCUUCGGGUUGUAAAGCCCUUUUGUUGGGAAAGAAAUCCAGCUGGCUAAUACCCGGUUGGGAUGACGGUACCCAAAGAAUAAGCACCGGCUAACUUCGUGCCAGCCGCCGCAGUAA